This 467-nucleotide ribosomal RNA is filed under the name uncultured bacterium. RNAcentral describes it as "partial 16S ribosomal RNA". It matches the Rfam family "Bacterial small subunit ribosomal RNA", at positions 28 to 507 of the family's 1533-position model. The record is from RNAcentral.
GACGAACGCUGGCGGCGUGCUUAACACAUGCAAGUCGAACGGAAAGGCUCCAGCUUGCUGGAGUACUCGAGUGGCGAACGGGUGAGUAACACGUGGGUAAUCUGCCCUGCACUCUGGGAUAAGCCUGGGAAACUGGGUCCAAUACUGGAUAUGACCUUUCUCCUUAUGGGGUUUGGUGGAAAGUUUUUCGGUGUAGGAUGAGCCCGCGGCCUAUCAGCUUGUUGGUGGGGUGAUGGCCUACCAAGGCGACGACGGGUAGCCGGCCUGAGAGGGUGAUCGGCCACAUUGGGACUGAGAUACGGCCCAGACUCCUACGGGAGGCAGCAGUGGGGAAUAUUGCACAAUGGGCGGAAGCCUGAUGCAGCGACGCCGCGUGAGGGAUGACGGCCUUCGGGUUGUAAACCUCUUUCAGCAGGGACGAAGCGUAAGUGACGGUACCUGCAGAAGAAGCACCGGCUAACUAUGUG